CCGAGCCCCGCUCGGUGCAGGAGCACCGACAGGAGAUGCGUGUGCCGCAGGCUCCAUCCCACGGCCGGCGGGAGCGCCCUGGGAAUUCACAGGCGCAUCCACAGCAGCUGAAAUCCUGCACGGAUGGUUCCGAAGCCACAUUUCUUGCAUAACCAGAAAGGAAUCAACCAACCUGCCAAGGAAACUGGGUUCAAGGCUUUCUGCACAAAACAGCCGCGACAGGAGUGCAGGGAAUGUUGUAAAAGCAAGGCAAAAGAAACGGGCUUUGGAGAAGGACAAGAAUUUGAUGAGGCGAAAGCCGCUUGGAGGUGCUGAAACGCGGGGUGUCAGUGGGAGAAGAGAGGGAGGUAAUGCAGCAAACGCGGCCAAGAACCUGCAGGGAGAUUAUCCCGGUCAGAACGUGCGGAGCAGAGGAGAGGAGGAGAGCAGAGGAGAGCAGAGGAGAGGGAGGAGAGCAGAGGAGAGGGAGGUACAGACCUAACAGCUGGACCCUGCUGUGCCUGCCACUGGCUAUGUCUUCAAGGAAGUGCAAAGCUCAUUAGCUUGUUUUCCAACCUCAGAUGUGCUCAAAUGCUCCCACACCACAUAGCCAUCCAGCACUGAGCCUGUCCAGUCAGCAAGACAUCCUACUCCUACAGCGUGCUCUACUUAAUCCAACCAAUCAAUACUGACAACGCUGAGAAUCAGGAAAGAAAUGUCAGGUAAUUAACUCUGAGCACCUUCUAAUUACUGCUACAUGAAAAGCACCCUUUCCUCCCAUCCUUGACCUGUUAGGUUGGGUUUUGUUUUGUUCCAAGACUUCACAGAACAAACUGGGACUUUGCAAGACCAGGCCUGGAGGGGGGUUUGGUACCACACUGAGACUGGCAGGGUAGGGGGACCCUGAAGGUAAAUUUGGUAUUGGAAAAUGCUGAGUUUGCACAUCUCUAUAUUCUGUUCAGAAACGGGUCCUAUUGCCAUCACAGCUUUUUAAAAGGAGGUAUUGGCAGAAUACAUAACCCAAGGGUUUUCACUAGUUCAAAAUGCCACCAGAGACUUGGGAGAAGCAAAUCUGCUUUGGGAUUUUCCAGAAUUUGAGACACAAAGCACAUUGAAUAUUUUAUUUAUCUGGUAAAAUGGUAAAAGGAUUUUUAGUGGCUUUCCUUUGUCCUCUGUAAAAUAAACAUCUUUAGUCCAGGUCCA
Molecule: long non-coding RNA, 1182 nt
Filed under: Serinus canaria (Common canary)
Lineage: Eukaryota; Metazoa; Chordata; Aves; Passeriformes; Fringillidae
Description: lncRNA (ENSSCAG00000015719.1)
Source: RNAcentral